This 539-nucleotide ribosomal RNA is filed under the name Ballistosporomyces xanthus. RNAcentral describes it as "LSU rRNA". It matches the Rfam family "Eukaryotic large subunit ribosomal RNA", at positions 90 to 634 of the family's 3401-position model. Lineage: Eukaryota; Fungi; Basidiomycota; Agaricostilbomycetes; Agaricostilbales; Chionosphaeraceae. The record is from RNAcentral.
CGAGUGAAGUGGGAAAAGCUCAACUUUGUAAUCUGGCUCUUUCAGAGUCCGAGUUGUAGUCUCGAGAAGCAACAUCCGCAUCGGACCUUGGGUAUGUCUGUUGGAAAACAGCGUCGUAGAGGGUGACAAUCCCGUUUGUACCAAGGACGACCGCGUGCAUUGUGGUGUGCUUUCCAAGAGUCGAGUUGUUUGGGAAUGCAGCUCAAAUUGGGUGGUAAAUUCCAUCUAAAGCUAAAUAUUGGCGAGAGACCGAUAGCGAACAAGUACCGUGAGGGAAAGAUGAAAAGCACUUUGGAAAGAGAAUGAAACAGUAUGUGAAAUUGCUGGAAGGGAAACGAUUGAAGUUAGACUUGCGUGGGCCCCACUCAGCCUUUUUGGUGUACUUGGGGCCCGUUGCAGGCCAGCAUCGGUUUGCUUCGCGGAAUAAGGGUGCGCGGGAUGUAGCUUCUUUUGAAGUGUUAUAAACGCGCACUGGAUGCCGAGUCGCAGACCGAGGAACGCAGCGUGUUUGUAGUGCCUGCAGGUACAGAGCGCUUAGG